Molecule: ribosomal RNA, 474 nt
Filed under: uncultured bacterium
Lineage: Bacteria
Description: bacterial SSU rRNA
Rfam family: Bacterial small subunit ribosomal RNA
Source: RNAcentral
GGGGGCCCGCAAGCGGUGGAGCAUGUGGUUUAAUUCGAUGCAACGCGAAGAACCUUACCUACUCUUGACAUCCAGAGAAUAUAGCAGAGAUGCCAUAGUGCCUUCGGGAACUCUGAGACAGGUGCUGCAUGGCUGUCGUCAGCUCGUGUUGUGAAAUGUUGGGUUAAGUCCCGCAACGAGCGCAACCCUUAUCCUUUGUUGCCAGCGAUUAAGUCGGGAACUCAAAGGAGACUGCCAGUGAUAAACUGGAGGAAGGUGGGGAUGACGUCAAGUCAUCAUGGCCCUUACGAGUAGGGCUACACACGUGCUACAAUGGCGCAUACAAAGAGAAGCAAACUUGCGAAAGCUAGCAGACCUCAUAAAGUGCGUCGUAGUCCGGAAUGGAGUAUGCAACUCGACUCCAUGAAGUCGGAAUCGCUAGUAAUCGUGGAUCAGAACGCCACGGUGAAUACGUUCCCGGGCCUUGUACACACC